This 260-nucleotide long non-coding RNA is filed under the name Panax ginseng (ginseng). Its description in RNAcentral is "long non-coding RNA (PGIN_LNC002588)". Lineage: Eukaryota; Viridiplantae; Streptophyta; Magnoliopsida; Apiales; Araliaceae. The record is from RNAcentral.
CAGGUUGCGUUGUCUCCUUAAGUUAUAUGAAUUGAACCUGCAUUAAAAAAAAGAGGAAAAAUUUGUGCAUAGCAUUAUUCAUGAAAGUGGCGUAAUUAGAAAGCUAUGAUCAUAGAAUUAAAGCUUUACACUGACAUCGGUUCUUACGAAUCUGGCGCAACAACAAAGAAAAAAAACCAACUGCAAUUCUGCGAAUGUUCACAUGGCGAGAACUGAUAAAUUCAAAUCGGUAUUACCUAAACUUGAAAGCGAAUCUCUUU